RNAcentral lists this long non-coding RNA (495 nucleotides) under Ananas comosus (pineapple). RNAcentral's name for it is "long non-coding RNA (ACOM_LNC033745)". Lineage: Eukaryota; Viridiplantae; Streptophyta; Magnoliopsida; Poales; Bromeliaceae. The record is from RNAcentral.
CAAAAAGACUUACAUGUUUUAGGAAAGAGAAACAAGUCGUCGUGAAGAUAAAGCCUUACAAAUGUACCACAAUAAAUAAAAAAUAUGGCACGCUAGAAGGCUCAACUUGGAAAAAGGAAAACAAAUACAACACAAUUUUUUUAAAAAAAGUAAACUUCAAAUACCACCCCUAUGGUUUCGCACUUUCUCACUUUAGAACCUUGUGGUUUAAAGUUGUAUCAAGCUAGUGCCAUGUAAUUUCAUUUUUAUUUUUUCAUUAGUUUCUCCGUUAAUAUUUCGUUAAAUUAUAUACAAAAAACCUCAGAUACACUACCUAGGUUUAUCGAAUAUUCACUUUAGUACCCUUUAGUUUUAACUUUGUCACUGAUUUAACGAAAAAAAUUAAUGAAAUAAAUAAUAAAAAGAUAAAAAUGAAAACACAGGAUACUAAAGUGAGAAAGUGUGAAACCACAAUGAUGGUAUUUGAAGUUAUCCCAAAAAAAAAAAAAAAAAACU